Molecule: long non-coding RNA, 1551 nt
Organism: Fukomys damarensis (Damara mole-rat)
Lineage: Eukaryota; Metazoa; Chordata; Mammalia; Rodentia; Bathyergidae
Source: Ensembl
AGCAUAACUGACCGCUGUGUGCAGGGUUAAAGCUCCCUCCUGCUGUGCACUUCCUGGGUCCCUGGACACCCAGGCAGCCGGCAUCCAGCCCUGAUGACAACUCCCGAGCGCCUGAGGCCCCAGAGCCUGCCUGUUGGCUUUUUCAGAGACUUGGGAAACUAAGCCGCGCACGGAGGGGUUGCCAACUGGCUCCUGUCUGCAUGAUCCUCUGCUGUGUCCCGGUAUGGGUGGCCGUUUUGACCUGGGCUGGCAGCUGCUACUUGCUCUCUGCUCUCUGGUCAGUCAGGCUGUUGGACAUCCAGCCUCGGUUCUCUGGACACCCACCCCGAGGGGAGAUUUGCACGUCCACACAGAAUGAACCUGGCAAGGCUCUUGGCCUUACGGAGCUUCGGAUCAGAGGUGGAGAGAAGGCGCAGCCCCAUGCGUGGACAAGCACAAGCCUCUCAGCUGUGCAGGGAGGAGCGGGGCCAUGACCUUUUCCGGUGAGAACGGUGUAGGCAGUGUUCCUGUACAUGGGGUGAAAAGCCAGCAUGUCGCUUACUUGCAUCGGUUCUCCUCGGUUAUACAGUCCAGCUAAGCAUACCAUAGCAUCAGACUGCAUUUCGACGCAGGACUCACAGAACACUAAAAUCACAGCAGCACUGGGGACUUGGAACACCUCUCUCCGAAACAAGCCAAGUAGACCACCCACUAGCAAAGAUCCGCACAGCUUAACUAUAGCGGUGUCAACAAUAACUUUGAAGUCAUUCAAGUGGCUGUUUUCCCCUAGCUCUGGAAGAAAAGGGAAUGGUCUUAGUCCUUACUUACAAACAGUUUGAGAGAGAACAAAGCACUGGUGAUUCUGUGGUUGUUAAGAGGACUGCUCUUCUCUAUUUCAGCUUCAGAGACCCAUUUGUUUUCCAUUUAACAGCGUGACAUGGGUCCUAUUUCACCCACAGACUUCAUGUCAGGUCCCAUUAGGAAUUUGGGAGUAACAUUGCUCCUACUGCAGUCACACUCUGAACUCCCUGGUGGGCUUCUCUGUUAGACAUUUUUGCCAGCUUGGUGGGGAGUUGAGGGUAAUUCCAGUACAGGGGGUGUAGAAUCUGUUCCUUGACCCAGUGGAGAAUGUGGAAGCCCAUGCGAGCUUCUGUUGUCUUACUAAGGUAGGCUCAUUUUAAACUUUAUCUUGGGCUGUAUUUACCAGGGGGCCUGGAAAUGAGUAGAUGCUCAAUAAAUAUUUAUUGAACACUUGUGAAAGUUCAUGGAAAGACAAUUGCAUCAUUACAUCGAAGACUUUAAUAUACAGUUGUUAUUUGAUGCUAUUUAAAAGCAGGAAUAAUUUGUGUCUUGGGUUGUUUGUUAGCUUGCAAGCAAUUAUUUCUCAGAACUCCCAAGAUGUGCUUCAUAAACAUGCAGAUCCACAAGACAAAAUUCUCUCAGUUUUAGGGUGCUGUGUGAACUCACAGGGUUCAUAUCACAUAUAUUAAAUUUGCCUUCAACACAAACAGCUUUUCUUCAUGAUGGAAGGUUUUGGGAAUAAAAACGUAUUUUGAUAAUGUAAAAUAGGAG